CAAUAGCGUAUAUUAAAGUUGUUGCGGUUAAAAAGCUCGUAGUUGGAUUUCUGCUGAGGAUGACCGGUCCGCCCAUUGGGUGUGUAUCUGGCUCUUUCUUGGCAUCUUCUUGGUGAACGUUACUGCACUUGACUGUGUGGAGCGCUACCCAGGACUUUUACUUUGAGGAAAUUAGAGUGUUUCAAGCAGGCAUACGCCUUGAAUACGUUAGCAUGGAAUAAUAAGAUAGGACCUCGGUUCUAUUUUGUUGGUUUCUAGAGCUGAGGUAAUGAUUAAUAGGGAUAGUUGGGGGCAUUCGUAUUUAACUGUCAGGGGUGAAAUUCUUGGAUUUGUUAAAGACGGACUACUGCGAAAGCAUUUGCCAAGGAUGUUUUCAUUGA
Molecule: ribosomal RNA, 380 nt
Filed under: uncultured eukaryote
Lineage: Eukaryota
Description: partial 18S ribosomal RNA
Rfam family: Eukaryotic small subunit ribosomal RNA
Source: RNAcentral